CCUACGGGAGGCAGCAGUGAGGAAUAUUGGUCAAUGGGCGGGAGCCUGAACCAGCCAAGUCGCGUGAGGGAAGACGGUCCUAUGGAUUGUAAACCUCUUUAGGCGGGGAGCAAUGCCGGGCACGUGUGCCCGGAGGGAGAGUACCCGCAGAAUAAGCAUCGGCUAACUCCGUGCCAGCAGCCGCGGUAAUACGGAGGAUGCGAGCGUUAUCCGUAUGUAUUGGGUUUAAGGGGUGCGUAGGCGGAUUGUUAAGUCAGCGGUAAAAUGUCCGGGCUCAACCCGGGCCGGCCGUUGAAACUGGGGAUCUUGAGUGGGCGAGAUGUAUGCUGAAUGCGUGGUGUAGCGGUGAAAUGCAUAGAUAUCACGCAGAACUCCGAUUGCGAAGGCAGCAUACCGGCGCCCGACUGACGCUGAGGCACGAAAGCGUGGGGAUCGAACAGGAUUAGAUACCCCAGUAGUC
This 460-nucleotide ribosomal RNA is filed under the name uncultured bacterium. RNAcentral describes it as "partial 16S ribosomal RNA". It matches the Rfam family "Bacterial small subunit ribosomal RNA", at positions 338 to 795 of the family's 1533-position model. The record is from RNAcentral.